GGCUUUAUAGUCAAUAAUGAUAUUAGACUGCAAUUCUAAAGGAGCAAGUUAAUUUGCUAAGGCUU
Molecule: transfer RNA, 65 nt
Filed under: Liriomyza sativae (vegetable leafminer)
Lineage: Eukaryota; Metazoa; Arthropoda; Insecta; Diptera; Agromyzidae
Description: tRNA-Cys
Rfam family: tRNA
About the family: Transfer RNA (tRNA) molecules are approximately 80 nucleotides in length. Their secondary structure includes four short double-helical elements and three loops (D, anti-codon, and T loops). Further hydrogen bonds mediate the characteristic L-shaped molecular structure. tRNAs have two regions of fundamental functional importance: the anti-codon, which is responsible for specific mRNA codon recognition, and the 3' end, to which the tRNAs corresponding amino acid is attached (by aminoacyl-tRNA synthetases). tRNAs cope with the degeneracy of the genetic code in two manners: having more than one tRNA (with a specific anti-codon) for a particular amino acid; and 'wobble' base-pairing, i.e. permitting non-standard base-pairing at the 3rd anti-codon position.
Source: RNAcentral